AAACAGAAUGAUAACAAAUAAGGGCCCUGGAAGUUUAGGUCUCUGCUAGCUUAUGGAUUAUAAAGUUUUGCUUCAAUGUAAUUGAGUACUUGUGUUGUGGGUUCAUAAGAAGAACAUGGAAUUCGAGAUGUGCUCCCAAGGUAUUUUAGCUCAAAAUGGUCAGUGGCCAAAUUUCACUUGCAGGAAGGUCUACAGCAUAUUGUUGCCUUUGGCAAGCGGAAGAAUACCAUCAUGAUCAUUGGCAUGGAUGGAAGCAGAAAAUGAUGCAAAAAAUGAAGAGGCUGAUAUUGAGGAGCUAGCAGUUGCAAAUCAGGUGUCAAAGUAAUUGUCAAUGGAACAACAGUUGGAAUGAUAUCUAGGAAUGAUUUUAUAUCAGCUUUUGAUUCAAGUGUAG
Molecule: long non-coding RNA, 394 nt
Organism: Rosa chinensis
Lineage: Eukaryota; Viridiplantae; Streptophyta; Magnoliopsida; Rosales; Rosaceae
Exons: 3
Source: RefSeq, a predicted model, not a curated record